GAUGAACGCUGGCGGCGUGCCUAAUACAUGCAAGUCGAGCGAACGGACGAGAAGCUUGCUUUUCUGAUGUUAGCGGCGGACGGGUGAGUAACACGUGGAUAACCUACCUAUAAGACUGGGAUAACUUCGGGAAACCGGAGCUAAUACCGGAUAAUAUUUUGAACCACAUGGUUCAAAAGUGAAAGACGGUCUUGCUGUCACUUAUAGAUGGAUCCGCGCUGCAUUAGCUAGUUGGUAAGGUAACGGCUUACCAAGGCAACGAUGCGUAGCCGACCUGAGAGGGUGAUCGGCCACACUGGAACUGAGACACGGUCCAGACUCCUACGGGAGGCAGCAGUAGGGAAUCUUCCGCAAUGGGCGAAAGCCUGACGGAGCAACGCCGCGUGAGUGAUGAAGGUCUUCGGAUCGUAAAACUCUGUUAUUAGGGAAGAACAUAUGUGUAAGUAACUGUGCACAUCUUGACGGUACCUAAUCAGAAAGCCACGGCUAACUACGUG
RNAcentral lists this ribosomal RNA (497 nucleotides) under uncultured bacterium. Its description in RNAcentral is "partial 16S ribosomal RNA". It matches the Rfam family "Bacterial small subunit ribosomal RNA", at positions 28 to 507 of the family's 1533-position model. The record is from RNAcentral.